Molecule: long non-coding RNA, 318 nt
Organism: Ictalurus punctatus (channel catfish)
Lineage: Eukaryota; Metazoa; Chordata; Actinopteri; Siluriformes; Ictaluridae
Source: Ensembl
CUAACACCUUGGGCCUUAAAACUGCUGGCAUGUUUUUGAGAGAUGGGAGGAAACUGGAGAACCCAGAGAAAACCCAUGCAGACACAGGCAGAAGAAAAGGACCAAAGAGAGGCCACAAAAAGAGAGAGCAAAAAAGAUUGAGAGGAGAAAAGAGAGGCAAAGAAAGCCCCCUUCUGGCUCCCUCUAACCCAUACACAUCUCCCACUGCUUUGCCCAGUUUCUCACUCUCGCUUGGCAACUGAAUGCCUCACACAAAGAAUUUCAGCUUUCGGCCAAAGACAAGGCCAGAAGGAGGCCGAACCUCCAGCAGACGGCCGG